UGCGAAGGCAGCUUUUCUGGAUCAUUACUGACGCUGAGGAACGAAAGCAUGGGUAGCGAAGAGGAUUAGAUACCCUCGUAGUCCAUGCCGUAAACGAUGUGUGUUAGACGUUGGAAAUUUAUUUUCAGUGUCGCAGCGAAAGCAUUAAACACACCGCCUGGGGAGUACGACCGCAAGGUUAAAACUCAAAUGAAUUGACGGGGACCCGCACAAGUAGUGGAGCAUGUGGUUUAAUUCGAAGAUACGCGCAGAACCUUACCAACACUUGACAUGUUCGUCGCGACUUUAAGAGAUUAAAGUUUUCGGUUCGGCCGGACGAAACACAGGUGCUGCAUGGCUGUCGUCAGCUCGUGUCGUGAGAUGUUGGGUUAAGUCCCGCAACGAGCGCAACCCUCACUUUUAGUUGCCAUCAUUAAGUUGGGCACUCUGAAAGAACUGCCAGUGAUAAGCUGGAGGAAGGUGGGGAUGACGUCAAGUCCUCAUGGCCCUUACGUGUUGGGCUACACACGUGCUACAAUGGCAUUCACAAUAGGAAGCAAGAUGGCGACGUCAAGCAAAUCCUAAAAAGAUGCCUCAGUUCGGAUUGUACUCUGCAACUCGAGUACAUGAAGCUGGAAUUACUAGUAAUCGCGGAUCAGCGCGCCGCGGUGAAUACGUUCCCGGGUCUUGUACACACCGCCCGUCACACCAUGGGAGUUGGUUCUACCUUAAGGCAAGGUUUCAAACCCUUGACCACGGUAUAGUCAGCGACUGGGGUGAAGUCAUAACAAGGUAACCGUA
RNAcentral lists this ribosomal RNA (780 nucleotides) under uncultured bacterium. RNAcentral's name for it is "bacterial SSU rRNA". It matches the Rfam family "Bacterial small subunit ribosomal RNA", at positions 714 to 1504 of the family's 1533-position model. The record is from RNAcentral.